CGGCACCCGUGGAAUGUGAAAAGUAUGGUGGAAAUAGGAAUAAACUUUAUUUUCUGUUUGGGAACCGCCUUUGAUAUAUCUAGCAUGGAAAGUAAUGGGAACUACUCGAUCAUUUUCGUUGACAUGAAAGGCAUGCCACCCAAAAUGUUGUAUCUCUUAAUUUUUUGCUUUGAGCUCUAGGACCUCUACAAAUCCCUACUUCCUUUUGCGAAGGGCCUUUCUUUUUUACUUUAUGCAAUUUUUAUUUUGAGUCUCCAUCUUCUCUUGUAAAGCACCAACUAAGGGGCACUAUGAUCGUACUUGAGCAUUGGGUGUAGCUAAUAUGCGAGUGUGUUUCAUGAAUAGAUCAAUGAUUGAGCAUAAUGGGCUAGGGAUAACUUGCUUUAGUGUUGAUAUUUUGAAACACAUGGUUGCUUGUUGAUAUGCUUGAGUAUUGAAAUCCUCAUGUCAAAACUAGAGUAUUGCUUUGAAUCAUAUAGAAGUCCAAAUGUCCAUGCUAAAAAAAAAAGAAUAUGCGAUGAACAUCGUGAUGGUUCGACCUCCCCUCGUGGUUCGACGACCUCGUUCGAUCCCCCCGCCUCGUACGCCAACCAUCCCCACCCCACGAUUCGACCUCUUUCUAGUUCUACUGCGCGAUUAAAAAGGAAGAAAACAACCGCCGGUCCGCCACCCACGCACGGAGUCCCACACAUCCCACGCACAUCUUCCCAAUCCAUCUCGCCGCUGAGAAAGAUCGCCGCCCCGCCCUGUCCUGCUGCACGCUCCUCUGCCACGACUACUCGAUGAGCCGCCCUUCUUGAUCGCUGUCCGUGGCUCGUCUCGGUCGCUGUCGUGUGCCUCGACUUCUCUGGUGGUUGGGGUCAACGGUGUAGGCGGAGUCGCAACCCGCGACAACCGUAGAAGCAGGCUCCAUCGGGGAACGCGACGGGAACCUGCCACCGGAGACGCUUCAUGAUGGUUCCAAGCGCGCGGCAGCUAUCCGGACGCAGGCAUCGCGUGCGAGCUGGCCUAGCCACGGGAAACCCUCUCGGCCAGCAGCAAGACUGGCGCCAAUAGCACUUCCUCUCCAGGGGUCUCGCACGGGAGCUAUAGGACAGUGUGGCACAGACUGUGGCUGCACCGGUGAUCUCGCAAUCGCCGUCCACGGUGGUGGAGGCGAGACCGGUGUAGGCUGCUACAACUCUGAAUCUCGGUCGCAGGCUGGUGAGUACCGCCUUCUUCGAGGACCCCCCCAGCUUGCUUAUAGUAAUCCGAUGAUCGACCAUUAGAGUCAUUCUGAUGUGGCAUGGCGUGCACGCUAGAUGUUUGCUCAUAUGCUUAUGUUGUCUAUGGUAGGUUCUUUCCACUGAAUGUUUUUACCCCUGCGACUCUGCUCCCCCGGGACGAUCUCCACUAGCACUGUUGCCGCCUCCUCUCAGCCUUCGCAAGCAGCAGGUGGAUGCACCAGUCACCGACGAUGCUUGCUAAAACUCCACAUGUUGUGGUGGCGACGACGAACUCGCCUACAUGUGCACGGAGACAUCUUCUAGCCCCUUGUCAAGGCAAGUCACAACCUAAGGCUUGAUCUUCGAUCUUGGACUGGUGUUUGAUCUGUAGCUAAUUGUUUAUAUGAUGGAUAUGUGCAGGGCAAGGAGCAGACUGAUUUUUUUGUACAACCUGGCUUCUUCUAGAAAGGGUUUGCGUUCAGUUUAUGGCUGGUUGUUGGGGUACUGGAUGAUGCACAGGGACGGGUCACCAAUGCUUUCUAUGAUCCAUGGAACGGUAAUGACUGCCUAAUUCACAAGGGAUGGAUUUUGAUUGUUAAUAUAAUUCAGUACUGUAUCCAAACUUUUCUGAAUCAGUUAUCUGUGUAAUGUAUCCAAAAUUUUCCGAACCACUUUUCUGAAUCAGUUAUCCGUGUGCUCUAUCCAUGUUUCGAUUUUGGUGUGCAAACAAAUUAGAAUGAAAAUGCCUCCAUGUCAACCAUGCAUUGGUUGAAUAUUAAUUUUAACCAAUAAUGUGUAGCAUAUGUCAUUCAAAAUAGAAGCAGCCAAACAAAUUCCAAAGGUCUACAUGGUUCGUUGGGCAUCUGUCAUUAAUACUGAAUUUUCAGUGAGAGCUACCUCGCAGUGUAGUAUUUUUAACCAAGAUAUUUGUUUUGUUCCAUUACCAACUGAGCAUUUCAUAUAUUGUUAGGUGACAAAGAUGCAGCUCCAAAAAAAGGAAAUAGAGAUGGGUUCAGAUAUCGUGAGACAUAUAUUGUCAUGUUAGGAAUAUUUAUUAGGACUCCAUUCAGUUAUACAUAUAAAAGAUGACUGCUUCUGUAUUUUCGCCAAUCACUACUGCAAUCAGCUAAUUUGCCAUCUGCCAGCUCUUUGCCGUCUGCUAGCUGACGGCAAAGAAGCUCUUUGCCAUCAGCUACCCAAAAGCAGAUGGCAAAGAAAUGGCAGACGGCAAAGAAGCUCUUUGCCGUCCGCGAGCUCUUUGCC
RNAcentral lists this long non-coding RNA (2468 nucleotides) under Triticum aestivum (bread wheat). RNAcentral describes it as "long non-coding RNA (TAES_LNC000270)". The record is from RNAcentral. Lineage: Eukaryota; Viridiplantae; Streptophyta; Magnoliopsida; Poales; Poaceae.